RNAcentral lists this transfer RNA (80 nucleotides) under Thermofilum pendens. Its description in RNAcentral is "tRNA-Ser". It matches the Rfam family "tRNA". Rfam says of the family: Transfer RNA (tRNA) molecules are approximately 80 nucleotides in length. Their secondary structure includes four short double-helical elements and three loops (D, anti-codon, and T loops). Further hydrogen bonds mediate the characteristic L-shaped molecular structure. tRNAs have two regions of fundamental functional importance: the anti-codon, which is responsible for specific mRNA codon recognition, and the 3' end, to which the tRNAs corresponding amino acid is attached (by aminoacyl-tRNA synthetases). tRNAs cope with the degeneracy of the genetic code in two manners: having more than one tRNA (with a specific anti-codon) for a particular amino acid; and 'wobble' base-pairing, i.e. permitting non-standard base-pairing at the 3rd anti-codon position. The record is from RNAcentral. Lineage: Archaea; Thermoproteati; Thermoproteota; Thermoprotei; Thermofilales; Thermofilaceae.
GGGCCGGUAGCUCAGCCCGGUAGAGCGGCGGCGGGCUGCUGACCCGUAGGACCCGGGUUCAAGUCCCGGCCGGCCCGCCA